This is a non-coding RNA of Pelobates cultripes (western spadefoot toad), 154 nucleotides long. The record is from the annotation of a GenBank genome assembly. NCBI's taxonomy places the organism in Eukaryota, Metazoa, Chordata, Amphibia, Anura, Pelobatidae.
GCAGACACAUUCCAGCCAAUCAGCAGCAGACCCUCCCUCCCAGACCCUCCCACCUCCUGGACAGCCAUUGUGAAGCUGCAUUCUUAGUGAGCUGUCCAGGAGGUGGGAGGGUCUGGGAGGGAGGGUCUGCUGCUGAUUGGCUGGAAUGUGUCUG